AUGUCUCUUCGUAUUUUUUAGAUGAAGAGUCCAGCCUGCCCGGUGAUUUUUUUAACGGCCGCGGUACUUUGACCGUGCGAAGGUAGCAUAAUCAUUUGUCUUAUAAUUGAAGGCUAGUAUGAAUGGUUUAACAUGGUUACUACUGUCUCUCUAAAAAUUUUUUAGAAUUUUAUUUUUAGGUUAAAAAGCCUAAAUUUUAUUAAAAGACAAGAAGACCCUAUCGAGCUUUAAAUUAUUAUUUUUUAGGUGUUUGUAGAUUUUUUUAAGCUGAAUUCUAUUAAAAAUUUUUAGUUGGGGCGACUAAGGAACAUACAAAGCUUCCUUCAAUAGGAAUUCACCUGCGCGUAGUGAUCCAAUUAUUUUGAUUAAUGAAAUUAGUUACCGUAGGGAUAACAGCAUAAUCCCCCUAAAGAGUUCAUAUCGAAAGGGGGGUUUGUGACCUCGAUGUUGGACCAAAGUAUCCUGAAGGUGCAGCAGUCUUCAAGGGUUGGUCUGUUCGACCAUUAAAACUUUACGUGAUCUGAGUUCAGACCGG
RNAcentral lists this ribosomal RNA (535 nucleotides) under Velutina sp. BAU 4256. RNAcentral describes it as "partial large subunit ribosomal RNA". It matches the Rfam family "Bacterial large subunit ribosomal RNA", at positions 1815 to 2619 of the family's 2925-position model. Lineage: Eukaryota; Metazoa; Mollusca; Gastropoda; Littorinimorpha; Velutinidae. The record is from RNAcentral.